Molecule: ribosomal RNA, 253 nt
Filed under: uncultured bacterium
Lineage: Bacteria
Description: partial 16S ribosomal RNA
Rfam family: Bacterial small subunit ribosomal RNA
Source: RNAcentral
UACAGAGGGUGCAAGCGUUGUUCGGAAUUAUUGGGCGUAAAGCGCGUGUAGGCGGCCGUGCAAGUCGGGUGUGAAAGCCCUCAGCUCAACUGAGGAAGUGCGCCCGAAACUGCAUGGCUUGAGUACCGGAGAGGAUGGCGGAAUUCCCGAAGUAGAGGUGAAAUUCGUAGAUAUCGGGAGGAACACCGGUGGCGAAGGCGGCAUCCUGGACCGACACUGACGCUGAGGCGCGAAAGCUAGGGUAGCAAACGGG